GUUUUCUGUUUAGAAGAGAGAAAGCAGAGUCAUUCCAAAUUUCUCUUUUGCUUCCUUGUCAAAAGGAUCAUCUCCAAGAUACAUGUGGGUAUAGGCCCUGCAUAGGAGUUCACUUUCAACCUUGCUCACAACUUCAUCCAUCACUUUUGUUUGGAGAAUGUAUCCUGGAAGCCGAGAAAUCUCAAUUAUUGAACCACAUGUCAG
RNAcentral lists this unclassified non-coding RNA (204 nucleotides) under Hevea brasiliensis (rubber tree). The record is from RNAcentral. Lineage: Eukaryota; Viridiplantae; Streptophyta; Magnoliopsida; Malpighiales; Euphorbiaceae.